CCUACGGGAGGCAGCAGUCGAGAAUCAUUCACAAUGGGGGAAACCCUGAUGGUGCGACGCCGCGUGGGGGAAUGAAGGUCUUCGGAUUGUAAACCCCUGUCAUGUGGGAGCAAAGUAAAAAGAUAGUACCACAAGAGGAAGAGAUGGCUAACCCUGUGCCAGCAGCCGCGGUAAUACAGAGGUCUCAAGCGUUGUUCGGAAUCACUGGGCGUAAAGCGUUCGUAGGCUGUUUCGUAAGUCGUGUGUGAAAGGCCCGGGCUCAACCCGCGGACGGCACAUGAUACUGGGAGACUAGAGUAAUGGAGAGGGAACCGGAAUUCUCGGUGUAGCAGUGAAAUGCAUAGAUAUCGAGAGGAACACUCGUGGCGAAGGCGGGUUCCUGGACAUUAACUGACGCUGAGGCACGAAAGCCAGGGGAGCGAAAGGGAUUAGAUACCCCAGUAGUC
RNAcentral lists this ribosomal RNA (446 nucleotides) under uncultured bacterium. RNAcentral's name for it is "partial 16S ribosomal RNA". It matches the Rfam family "Bacterial small subunit ribosomal RNA", at positions 338 to 795 of the family's 1533-position model. The record is from RNAcentral.